RNAcentral lists this ribosomal RNA (954 nucleotides) under uncultured bacterium. RNAcentral's name for it is "bacterial SSU rRNA". It matches the Rfam family "Bacterial small subunit ribosomal RNA", at positions 550 to 1504 of the family's 1533-position model. The record is from RNAcentral.
AUUUAUGGGGGUACAGCGAGUGCAGGCGAUUGAUAAGUCUGAUGUGAAAGCCCUCGGCUCAGCCGGUGAAGUGCAUCAGGCACUGUCGAGCGUGAGUACAGUAGAGGAGAGUGGCACUCCUUGUGUAGCGGUGGAAUGCGUAGAUAUAUGGAAGAACACCGGUGGCGAAGGCGGCUCUCUUGUCUGUCACUGACGGUGAGGCUAGAAUGCAUGGGUAGCGAACAGGAUUAGAUACCCUGGUAGUUCAUGCCGUAAACGAUGAGUGCUAAGUGUUGGGAGGUUUCCGCCUCUCAGUGCUGCAGCUAACGCAUUAAGCACUCAGCCUGGGGAGUACGCCUGCAAGGUUGUAACUCAAAGGAAUUGACGGGGGCCCGCACAAGCGGUGGAGCAUGUGGUCUAAUUCGAAGCAACGCGAAGAACCUUACCAGGUCUUGACAUCCAUAGCCAGUGUAAGAGAUUAGAUGUUCCCUUCGGGGACUAUGAGACAGUCGGUGCAUGGCAGUGGUCAGCUCGUGUCGUGAGAUGUUGGGUUAAGUCCCGCAACGAGCGCAACCCUUGUCAUUAGUUGCCAGCAUUAAGUUGGGCACUCCUAAUGAGACUGCCGGUGACAAACCGGAGGAAGGUGGGGAUGACGUCAAGUCAUCAUGCCCCUUAUGACCUGGGCUACACACGUGCUACAAUGAACGGUACAACGAGAAGCGACCCUGUGAAGGCAAGCGGAUCUAUGAAAGCCGUUCUCAGUUCGGAUUGCAGGCUGCAACUCGCCUGCAUGAAGCUGGAAUCGCUAGUAAUCGCAAAUCAACACGUUGCGGUGAAUACGUUCCCGGGCCUUGUACACACCGCCCGUCACACCAUGAGAGUCUGUAACGCCCGAAGCCGGCGGGAUAACCGAAAGGAGUCAGCCGUUUAAGGCGGGACAGAUGAUUAGGGUGAAGUGGUACCAAGGUAACCGUA